GAACAUUUUAUUUUGUUUUUAUUUUAUUAAAACUGCAUAGACUAAUUCUGAGAAAGUACUUAAGCACUUUCUUUUUUAUAUACAUUUUUGGAUGUUAAUGGGCCUUUAUUUUGUUCAUUUAUUUAUAUGCAGUGCUUAGAUGGAACCUUGUGCCUCAAACAUGCUAAGCAAAUGUUCUACCACUGAGUCACAAUCCCAGCUCCAGCCACAAGCCCAGGUCUUUCAGCUCUUUCUUGAUGUGUAGAAUUUCUUACCCAUGCCUCUACUGUCUUGAUCUAAGUAUUCAUACAUUUACUUCACACUGAUACAAUAAUUUGAUGCACAAACAUAGUACCAUUUACUGCAGCAUAACAGCAUUGUUUAUAACUUAAGUUCAUUUUAAGCAUUCAAGCUAAUUAGAGUCAUAAAACUAUAAGAAUAGUGCCUUUUAAUCCACUAGUAUAUUAACCUAUAUAAGAGAGGUGUCCUUUUUAUACAAAAAAAUCCUGAAGCAGUGCUGAAAAAUAUUUGGACUGAAAGAGGUGGAAAAUAAUAGUUGAGGCCCACUGCUCUUUUAUGUUGUACUAAUAUUAAUGCAGAGACCACUGGGAGCAGCACAGUAGCUGAACUGAAUAAAGA
RNAcentral lists this long non-coding RNA (618 nucleotides) under Marmota monax (woodchuck). The record is from RNAcentral. Lineage: Eukaryota; Metazoa; Chordata; Mammalia; Rodentia; Sciuridae.